RNAcentral lists this long non-coding RNA (1197 nucleotides) under Oreochromis niloticus (Nile tilapia). Its description in RNAcentral is "lncRNA (ENSONIG00000028293.1)". Lineage: Eukaryota; Metazoa; Chordata; Actinopteri; Cichliformes; Cichlidae. The record is from RNAcentral.
AUGAAGAAAGAGAUGUUCAUAGAUGACAGCAACAGCUGGGUGGCGCCACUUCCACUCAAGGGACCUCGCCAGCGGCUGCCCAACAAUCACGACCAGGCGGUCAAACGCUUAUCCUCUCUUCAUCGCACCCUUGAAAAAAGGCUUGAAAUGAAGAGGCAUUUCUUUGCCUUCAUGCAGAACAUAUUUGAUCGUGACCAUGCUGAACUGGCUCCUCCACUUGAGGUGGACAAGGAGUGCUGGUACUUACCUACGUUUGGGGUGUACCAUCCUCAGAAGCUGGGUCAGAUCAGAGUUGUGUUCGACUCAAGUGCAAAGUGCCAUGGCGUCUCUCUCAAUGAUGUUCUCCUCUCUGGACCUGACCUCAAUAAUAGCUUGUUGGGAGUAUUGUUGUUGCCAUCAUUAAUUGUUGUAUUGUUGUUCAGACGUGAAACUGUUCCAGUAACCGCUGACAUUGAACAGAUGUUUCACAGUUUCAUUUUAAGAGAGGACCAUCGAAACUAUUUGCGCUUCCUCUGGCAUGAAGACAACAAUCCUGCCAAUGACAUCUGUGAGUAUCAAAUGAAGGUUCACGUGUUUGGCAACAGUCCCUCACUAUCCGUAGCUAUAUACAGCCUUCGACGUGCAGCAGCUCAGGGUGAAGAGGAAUACGGAUCAGAUGCACGACGCUUUGUUGAGAGGGAGUUCUACGUUGAUGAUGCGCUUGUGUCAAGGCCCACAGCCAGUGAAGCUAUUGAUCUAAUGAAGAGAGCACAGGAAAUGCUUGCCACAUCUAACCUUCGCCUGCAUAAAAUAGCAUCAAACAGCUCUGAGGUUCUUGAUGCGUUUUCUCCAGAUGACUGUGCAAAGGGGCUUAAGGAGCUAAAUCUGGAGACUGAUGUGACACCUACACAGCGAAGUCUUGGUCUGAUAUGGGACCUAAAGAAAGACGCCUUUACCUUUCAAGUAGCAGAGACAGUGAAGCCCUUUACAAAGAGAGGUGCCUUAGCUACAAUCAAUGGUCUUUUCGAUCCGUUAGGAUUUGCUUCACCGGUUACAAUCCAGGGAAAGAUACUGCUGAGAGAACUUUCAAGUGAGGCCCUAGACUGGGACACUCCACUGCCUGGAGAAAGGGAGGCCGAGUGGGAUACAUGGAAAGAAUCUCUUGUCAAUCUCAAGAAUGUACAUAUUCCAAGAACCUACGCUUCUGCUACAAUGUGA